CCUGGCUCAGGAUGAACGCUAGCUACAGGCUUAACACAUGCAAGUCGAGGGGCAGCAUGGUCUUAGCUUGCUAAGGCCGAUGGCGACCGGCGCACGGGUGAGUAACACGUAUCCAACCUGCCGUCUACUCUUGGACAGCCUUCUGAAAGGAAGAUUAAUACAAGAUGGCAUCAUGAGUCCGCAUGUUCACAUGAUUAAAGGUAUUCCGGUAGACGAUGGGGAUGCGUUCCAUUAGAUAGUAGGCGGGGUAACGGCCCACCUAGUCUUCGAUGGAUAGGGGUUCUGAGAGGAAGGUCCCCCACAUUGGAACUGAGACACGGUCCAAACUCCUACGGGAGGCAGCAGUGAGGAAUAUUGGUCAAUGGGCGAGAGCCUGAACCAGCCAAGUAGCGUGAAGGAUGACUGCCCUAUGGGUUGUAAACUUCUUUUAUAAAGGAAUAAAGUCGGGUAUGGAUACCCGUUUGCAUGUACUUUAUGAAUAAGGAUCGGCUAACUCCGUGCCAGCAGCCGCGGUAAUACGGAGGAUCCGAGCGUUAUCCGGAUUUAUUGGGUUUAAAGGGAGCGUAGAUGGAUGUUUAAGUCAGUUGUGAAAGUUUGUGGCUCAACCCGUAAAAUUGCAGUUGAUACUGGAUAUCUUGAGUGCAGUUGAGGCAGGCGGAAUUCGUGGUGUAGCGGUGAAAUGCUUAGAUAUCACGAAGAACUCCGAUUGCGAAGGCAGCCUGCUAAGCUGCAACUGACAUUGAGGCUCGAAAGUGUGGGUAUCAAACAGGAUUAGAUACCCUGGUAGUCCACACGGUAAACGAUGAAUACUCGCUGUUUGCGAUAUACUGCAAGCGGCCAAGCGAAAGCGUUAAGUAUUCCACCUGGGGAGUACGCCGGCAACGGUGAAACUCAAAGGAAUUGACGGGGGCCCGCACAAGCGGAGGAACAUGUGGUUUAAUUCGAUGAUACGCGAGGAACCUUACCCGGGCUUAAAUUGCAGAUGAAUUACGGUGAAAGCCGUAAGCCGCAAGGCAUCUGUGAAGGUGCUGCAUGGUUGUCGUCAGCUCGUGCCGUGAGGUGUCGGCUUAAGUGCCAUAACGAGCGCAACCCUUGUUGUCAGUUACUAACAGGUUCCGCUGAGGACUCUGACAAGACUGCCAUCGUAAGAUGUGAGGAAGGUGGGGAUGACGUCAAAUCAGCACGGCCCUUACGUCCGGGGCUACACACGUGUUACAAUGGGGGGUACAGAGGGCCGCUACCACGCGAGUGGAUGCCAAUCCCCAAAACCUCUCUCAGUUCGGACUGGAGUCUGCAACCCGACUCCACGAAGCUGGAUUCGCUAGUAAUCGCGCAUCAGCCACGGCGCGGUGAAUACGUUCCCGGGCCUUGUACACACCGCC
Molecule: ribosomal RNA, 1382 nt
Filed under: uncultured bacterium
Lineage: Bacteria
Description: bacterial SSU rRNA
Rfam family: Bacterial small subunit ribosomal RNA
Source: RNAcentral